CCUACGGGAGGCAGCAGUGGGGAAUAUUGGGCAAUGGGCGCAAGCCUGACCCAGCAACGCCGCGUGAAGGAAGAAGGCUUUCGGGUUGUAAACUUCUUUUGUCAGGGACGAAGCAAGUGACGGUACCUGACGAAUAAGCCACGGCUAACUACGUGCCAGCAGCCGCGGUAAUACGUAGGUGGCAAGCGUUAUCCGGAUUUACUGGGUGUAAAGGGCGUGUAGGCGGGACUGCAAGUCAGAUGUGAAAACCUGCGGCUUAACCGCAGAACUGCAUUUGAAACUGUUGAUCUUGAGUACUGGAGAGGCAGACGGAAUUCCUAGUGUAGCGGUGAAAUGCGUAGAUAUUAGGAGGAACACCAGUGGCGAAGGCGGUCUGCUGGACAGCAACUGACGGUGAGGCGCGAAAGCGUGGGGAGCAAACAGGAUUAGAUACCCGUGUAGUC
RNAcentral lists this ribosomal RNA (443 nucleotides) under uncultured bacterium. RNAcentral describes it as "partial 16S ribosomal RNA". It matches the Rfam family "Bacterial small subunit ribosomal RNA", at positions 338 to 795 of the family's 1533-position model. The record is from RNAcentral.